UACGAAGGGGCUAGCGUUGCUCGGAAUCACUGGGCGUAAGGGUGCGUAGGCGGGUCUUUAAGUCAGAGGUGAAAUCCUGGAGCUCAACUCCAGAACUGCCUUUGAUACUGAGGAUCUUGAGUUCGGAGAGGUGAGUGGAACUGCCGAGUGUAGAGGUGAAAUUCGUAGAUAUUCGCAAGAACACCAGUGCGAAGGCGGCUCACUGGCCGAUACUGACGCUGAGGCACGAAAGCGUGGGGA
Molecule: ribosomal RNA, 240 nt
Filed under: uncultured bacterium
Lineage: Bacteria
Description: partial 16S ribosomal RNA
Rfam family: Bacterial small subunit ribosomal RNA
Source: RNAcentral